UGGGGAAUUUUGGACAAUGGGCGCAAGCCUGAUCCAGCCAUGCCGCGUGCGGGAAGAAGGCCUUCGGGUUGUAAACCGCUUUUGUCAGGGAAGAAAUCUUCUGAGUUAAUACCUCGGGAGGAUGACGGUACCUGAAGAAUAAGCACCGGCUAACUACGUGCCAGCAGCCGCGGUAAUACGUAGGGUGCAAGCGUUAAUCGGAAUUACUGGGCGUAAAGCGUGCGCAGGCGGUUUUGUAAGACAGAGGUGAAAUCCCCGGGCUCAACCUGGGAACUGCCUUUGUGACUGCAAGGCUUGAGUGCGGCAGAGGGGGAUGGAAUUCCGCGUGUAGCAGUGAAAUGCGUAGAUAUGCGGAGGAACACCGAUGGCGAAGGCAAUCCCCUGGGCCUGCACUGACGCUCAUGCACGAAAGCGUGGGGAGCAAACAGGAUUAGAUACCCUGGUAGUCCACGCCCUAAAACGAUGUCAACUGGUUGUUGGGAAGGUUCCUUCUCAGUAACGUAGCUAACGCGUGAAGUUGACCGCCUGGGGAGUACGGCCGCAAGGUUGAAACUUAAAUGAAUUGACGGGGU
Molecule: ribosomal RNA, 572 nt
Filed under: uncultured bacterium
Lineage: Bacteria
Description: partial 16S ribosomal RNA
Rfam family: Bacterial small subunit ribosomal RNA
Source: RNAcentral